AGUGGCAAAUGAAGAAUGUUAAAUCUUAUCCUACACACUGAAUGACCGUGUGGACUAUAUAACUCCGCUUAUUAUCUGAUGCCUUC
RNAcentral lists this small nucleolar RNA (86 nucleotides) under Olea europaea subsp. europaea. RNAcentral describes it as "Small nucleolar RNA R16". It matches the Rfam family "Small nucleolar RNA R16". Rfam says of the family: snoR16 is a member of the C/D class of snoRNA which contain the C (UGAUGA) and D (CUGA) box motifs. Most of the members of the box C/D family function in directing site-specific 2'-O-methylation of substrate RNAs. The record is from Rfam by way of RNAcentral. Lineage: Eukaryota; Viridiplantae; Streptophyta; Magnoliopsida; Lamiales; Oleaceae.